Molecule: long non-coding RNA, 560 nt
Filed under: Aquilegia coerulea
Lineage: Eukaryota; Viridiplantae; Streptophyta; Magnoliopsida; Ranunculales; Ranunculaceae
Description: long non-coding RNA (ACOE_LNC000892)
Source: RNAcentral
CCGUGGUUGCGUAGUUGUGUAAUAUGGUCGGUUUGGGUUAAACAAUACCCAUGGACAUACUAUAUAGUCUCUUCAGCGUUCAGUGAAAUGAGUACAGAAAGAAAAGGAACAAGCUAGCUUAGCCAGAAAACGUGUUUGACGACUACCUUCCACCACGAACACCACCACCAUCUCCACCACCCUCAUCACUACCACCUACUGCUGAUAUUCUGGAUUGUAACAUCUGUGAGGGGCCCGUUGCCAGAUUUUAUAAUGGUUUGGUUAAGCACAUAUCCGGUCAUAAGAACAAGUUUAAGUUUCAGUGUAAGAAGAAAAGGUAUCUUGGUGACCAUCAGAAGCAUUUAUGUACCGACCGUUUUUACACCCGGCGUCUCCGUGAAAUUCAUCUUGAAAAUGUUCCUCACUUAAAGUGAGUCAGUUUGUGUUGAUGUCUAGUUUGUGUUGAUGUCUGCUUGAGGUACAUUUUUUUUUUUGUUUUGAUUUGAUGGUUGAUGGUGUUUUUCUAGUUAAAUGUUGUUAGUAGUUAGGGUUCAAAUGUUCAACUUGAUUGGUGUUUUUCC